This 349-nucleotide long non-coding RNA is filed under the name Salvia miltiorrhiza (redroot sage). Its description in RNAcentral is "long non-coding RNA (SMIL_LNC009486)". Lineage: Eukaryota; Viridiplantae; Streptophyta; Magnoliopsida; Lamiales; Lamiaceae. The record is from RNAcentral.
UUUUUCAGUACAUUUCAUGUGCAGCAUCCAUGAGAUCCUCCACCUCCUCAUCCGUAGCCCUAUCUUUGCCAAAAAUUAUUUUCCAAUCAUCAUGGUACGACCAACUUUUAUAGCGCAUGGUGCGUGUGUUUCCAUCGGACUGAAUUACAAUUGAAAUAACUAAUGUUAGCCGAAAGCAUUAUAUUAAAUACCAGGCGGCAUAUUUUUAAGCAAAGCAUACCCAGUUACCUUUACAAUGUUUUCCCAUUGUUCAUCAUCAACAUCAACCAUGUGUGUCCCUUUCGCAUUGAAGCCAACUCCACUGAACUUGAGGAUGGGACGACGACUCAAAAAAGAAUACAGAUCAUAA